RNAcentral lists this ribosomal RNA (433 nucleotides) under uncultured bacterium. RNAcentral describes it as "partial 16S ribosomal RNA". It matches the Rfam family "Bacterial small subunit ribosomal RNA", at positions 29 to 507 of the family's 1533-position model. The record is from RNAcentral.
AACGAACGCUGGCGGCAUGCCUAACACAUGCAAGUCGAACGAGACCUUCGGGUCUAGUGGCGCACGGGUGCGUAACGCGUGGGGACCUGCCCUUAGGUUCGGAAUAACUCCCCGAAAGGGGUGCCAAUACCGGAUAAUGUCUUCGGACCAAAGAUUUAUCGCCUUUGGAUGGGCCCGCGUUGGAUUAGCUAGUUGGUAGGGUAAAAGCCUACCAAGGCGACGAUCCAUAGCUGGUCUGAGAGGAUGAUCAGCCACACUGGGACUGAGACACGGCCCAGACUCCUACGGGAGGCAGCAGUGGGGAAUAUUGGACAAUGGGCGAAAGCCUGAUCCAGCAAUGCCGCGUGAGUGAUGAAGGCCUUAGGGUUGUAAAGCUCUUUUACCCGGGAUGAUAAUGACAGUACCGGGAGAAUAAGCUCCGGCUAACUCCGUG